This 448-nucleotide ribosomal RNA is filed under the name uncultured bacterium. Its description in RNAcentral is "bacterial SSU rRNA". It matches the Rfam family "Bacterial small subunit ribosomal RNA", at positions 355 to 825 of the family's 1533-position model. The record is from RNAcentral.
GCGAGAAUAUUCGACAAUGGACGAAAGUCUGAUCGAGCGACGCCGCGUGUACGAUGAAGUUUUUCGGAAUGUAAAGUACUUUUAUGAGGGAAGAACGUUGACGGUACCUCAUGAAUAAGGGGCUCCUAACUCUGUGCCAGCAGGAGCGGUAAUACAGAGGCCCCAAGCGUUAUCCGGAAUCACUGGGCGUAAAGGGUGUCGAGGCGGUUGUAUUAGUCGUUCGUAAAAUCUACGAGCUUAACUUGUAGGCGGCGAACGAAACGGUACGACUUGAGGUUUGGAGAGGUGCGUGGAACUCACGGUGUAGGGGUGAAAUCCGUUGAUAUCGUGGGGAACACCAAAGGCGAAGGCAGCGCACUGGCCAAAAUCUGACGCUCACACACGAAAGCUAGGGUAGCGAAGAGGAUUAGAUACCCUGGUAGUCCCUGAGCGGGCUGGCAAGGCGCAU